GGGGCACUAUACAUGAAGACGUAACAGCUGUUAGCGCACUGAAUUAUACAUCAAAAAAUGCUGUUGAAUAUGAGUUUACACAAGACAUCAAACAUGCUGAUCCUCUUAUAUUUACGGAUGGCGGUUCCUGCGAUCUGCUUAAUAUUCCUAGGUUAAACGAGGGAAACGGUUGUGAGCUUUGGGUGAAGGACGAUUACAAAGACAAUGUUCCUCCAUGCUGCUCAUUCAUCUUUGACCUUCUAUGUGCAAUGGAGGGAAGCUACGAUGUCUAUUCCAAGGGAGCUUGCGGAAGCGUUGUUAACGAUUGGAAAGAAGGCAAACGCAGAUAAA
This is a long non-coding RNA of Rhipicephalus sanguineus (brown dog tick), 330 nucleotides long. RefSeq lists it as uncharacterized. The transcript is spliced from 3 exons. NCBI's taxonomy places the organism in Eukaryota, Metazoa, Arthropoda, Arachnida, Ixodida, Ixodidae. The record is from RefSeq and is a predicted model, not a curated record.